Molecule: ribosomal RNA, 449 nt
Filed under: uncultured bacterium
Lineage: Bacteria
Description: partial 16S ribosomal RNA
Rfam family: Bacterial small subunit ribosomal RNA
Source: RNAcentral
AACGAACGCUGGCGGCAGGCUUAACACAUGCAAGUCGAACGCAUCCUUCGGGGUGAGUGGCAGACGGGUGAGUAACGCGUGAGAACGUGCCCUUCAGUUCGGGAUAACCCAGGGAAACUUGGGCUAAUACCGGAUACGUGCGAGAGCAGAAAGAUUUAUCGCUGAAGGAUCGGCCCGCGUCUGAUUAGCUAGUUGGUGGGGUAAUGGCCCACCAAGGCGACGAUCAGUAGCUGGUCUGAGAGGAUGAUCAGCCACAUUGGGACUGAGACACGGCCCAAACUCCUACGGGAGGCAGCAGUGGGGAAUAUUGGACAAUGGGCGCAAGCCUGAUCCAGCCAUGCCGCGUGAGUGAUGAAGGCCUUAGGGUUGUAAAGCUCUUUCAGUGGGGACGAUAAUGACGGUACCCGCAGAAGAAGCCCCGGCUAACUUCGUGCCAGCAGCAGCCGCCG